Hyla sarda is the source of this 330-nucleotide long non-coding RNA. RefSeq lists it as uncharacterized. The record is from RefSeq and is a predicted model, not a curated record. The transcript has 3 exons. Lineage: Eukaryota; Metazoa; Chordata; Amphibia; Anura; Hylidae.
GAAAAAUAAGACCUGCACUGCAGCACUGCUGGGUAUGAGUCCUCUGCAUAAAAUGAGACAAACUUGCGUAUGAAGGUAAUUAACCGUGGUGAUCAGCUGAGUGAGGCAGUUCCUGUGUCUAUGACCAGAAAAACAGUGUUGAAGAGCAGGAACCAUCCAAGUGACAUUUGCAGGGGAAUAGGGGGAAAGAAAUGCUAUCGAGGGAUAGUCCCCACACACAUUAGAGUGUCAAAAGAUCCCACAAAAUGUAUCAGUUUGGCCAAAUUUUCUGAAUGGCUAGAUUAAGUGACAAGAAGGAGAUACCAGAAGGAUAAGAUUUUUGACUAUUGC